This 1212-nucleotide long non-coding RNA is filed under the name Bos indicus x Bos taurus (hybrid cattle). Its description in RNAcentral is "lncRNA (ENSBIXG00005001218.1)". Lineage: Eukaryota; Metazoa; Chordata; Mammalia; Artiodactyla; Bovidae. The record is from RNAcentral.
UCCCAGAUAGGCAUAUCUCCUCUAGGCUGUUGCUCAAAUGUCACAAUCUUAGAACUUCCCUGACCACUCUUUCUAAAUAUCACCCCCCUGUCUAUUUCACUAUCCCGAUUUAAUUUUAUUCACAGCAAUUACAAACACCUAAUACAUUACUUGUAUUUAGGGACCACAUGAUCCCAACAGAAUGUAAGCUCCAUGAGGAAAGGUUGAUUUUCUCUGUCCUAACUGUAAAUACAGAGUUGUGCUUAAUGCAUACUUUGGAGAGAAUGCAUGAAUGAUGGAAUGAACAAACAAAUUUAAACUUGUUGAGAGAGGCAUAGCUAGACAGGCUGAGGAUUCUGCUACGAAACAUAUUCAGGGAUGACAAGAUGGUGACAAAGCCAUGGUCUUUAUCUCACCUACGUGGUGGUGUCCUUGGGUCCUCUCAGAGUUGACCCCUUUCCUAAGAGAAUGGAAGGUCCUGUUGUCUCUUCCACAUAUUACUCGCAGUCAGCGACAGGGGCUUUCCCACGCCAGGCCUGCAGAUCCCAGUCGGAAGCUUUAUCUAUCCUGCCCCUUGGGGGACUGCGGCUGGCUUUCCCCCAUGAGACCUAUUCUGUAUUGAACAGGAAAGCACAAACAAUCACAAUGCCCAGCAAAGAUAAAGUGUUUUCCAUGCUCUCUGUUACGACAGUGAUCCCCAUAGAGACGUAAUCUUCAGUUUACGAAGACUUUUUUCUGAGUCCCAAAUUGCAGAAAUCUGUGGGGUUUUCCCCCUAACCUUGCCCUUCCGCCCUUUGUGGAUCCUCCUGGAAUGGUCCACGGGCAUCUAUAUCUGCUGUUCCCCAAUCCCACCAGCAAGGGGCGCGCGAGAUGAAACAGUUCUGUCCUGGGAUGUACCACCGAGGGGUAGCGGAAAGACCACCCACUCUGGAAGGUACCAUUGGGAGAGGGCGUGUGACAACAGAGAGGGUCCCCUUACACCGCGUCGGGCAUGGACCGCAGUUCCCAGCAGCGGCACUCAUGGCGCCACUAGGUCCAUCCCCACUCGCUCCUCUUGGUCUUCCCACUGCUUUUGAAUCCGAGUGGACACAGGACCAGCAGCCCAGUGUUGAGCAACCUCAACAAGAGGAACCGCCAGCUGAGAUUCAGGAUAUCACACCUGGGAAGGAGGAAGUAAAUGGAGAGGAUCCGGUGAAUCAUAAUGAAGAGAAGAGAGGAUGCCUCUGGAGGUAA